ACGCUCGACACCUACGGGAAGCAGCAGUGGGGAAUAUUGCACAAUGGGGGGAACCCUGAUGCAGCGACGCCGCGUGAGUGAAGAAGUACUUCGGUAUGUAAAGCUCUAUCAGCAGGGAAGAAAAUGACGGUACCUGACUAAGAAGCCCCGGCUAACUACGUGCCUGCAGCCGCGGUAAUCUGAGCGGGCUGGCAAGGC
RNAcentral lists this ribosomal RNA (198 nucleotides) under uncultured bacterium. Its description in RNAcentral is "partial 16S ribosomal RNA". It matches the Rfam family "Bacterial small subunit ribosomal RNA", at positions 326 to 539 of the family's 1533-position model. The record is from RNAcentral.